UACGUAGGGACCAAGCGUUGUUCGGAUUUACUGGGCGUAAAGGGCGCGUAGGCGGCAUGACAAGUCACUUGUGAAAUCUCUGGGCUUAACCCAGAACGGCCAAGUGAUACUGUCGCGCUAGAGUGCGGAAGGGGCAAUCGGAAUUCUCGGUGUAGCGGUGAAAUGCGUAGAUAUCAUUUGGAACGCCAAUGGUGAAAACAGGUAGCUGGGGGUCUGCUGACGCUGAGACACGAAAGCCAGGGGAGCAAACGGG
RNAcentral lists this ribosomal RNA (253 nucleotides) under uncultured prokaryote. RNAcentral's name for it is "partial 16S ribosomal RNA". It matches the Rfam family "Bacterial small subunit ribosomal RNA", at positions 524 to 776 of the family's 1533-position model. The record is from RNAcentral.